UACGUAGGGUGCGAGCGUUGUCCGGAAUUACUGGGCGUAAAGCGUGCGCAGGCGGUUUUGUAAGUCUGUCGUGAAAUCCCCGGGCUUAACCUGGGAAUGGCGAUGGAGACUGCAAGGCUGGAGUUUGGCAGAGGGGGGUAGAAUUCCACGUGUAGCAGUGAAAUGCGUAGAGAUGUGGAGGAACACCGAUGGCGAAGGCAGCCCCCUGGGUCAAAACUGACGCUCAUGCACGAAAGCGUGGGGAGCAAACAGG
RNAcentral lists this ribosomal RNA (253 nucleotides) under uncultured bacterium. Its description in RNAcentral is "partial 16S ribosomal RNA". It matches the Rfam family "Bacterial small subunit ribosomal RNA", at positions 524 to 776 of the family's 1533-position model. The record is from RNAcentral.